RNAcentral lists this ribosomal RNA (410 nucleotides) under uncultured bacterium. RNAcentral's name for it is "bacterial SSU rRNA". It matches the Rfam family "Bacterial small subunit ribosomal RNA", at positions 29 to 486 of the family's 1533-position model. The record is from RNAcentral.
AACGAACGCUGGCGGCAUGCCUAACACAUGCAAGUCGAACGAGACCUUCGGGUCUAGUGGCGCACGGGUGCGUAACGCGUGGGAACCUGCCUUUAGGUUCGGAAUAACUCAGAGAAAUUUGAGCUAAUACCGGAUAAUGUCUUCGGACCAAAGAUUUAUCGCCUUUAGAUGGGCCCGCGUAAGAUUAGCUAGUUGGUGGGGUAAAGGCCUACCAAGGCGACGAUCUUUAGCUGGUCUGAGAGGAUGAUCAGCCACACUGGGACUGAGACACGGCCCAGACUCCUACGGAGGCAGCAGUGGGAAUAUUGGGACAAUGGGCGAAAGCCUGAUCCAGCAAUGCCGCGUGAGUGAUGAAGGCCUUAGGGUUGUAAAGCUCUUUACCCGAGAUGAUAAUGACAGUAUCGGGAGAA